AGGGGAGUGAAAAAGAACCUGAAACCGUGUACGUACAAGCAGUGGGAGCACCUUUAUGGUGUGACUGCGUACCUUUUGUAUAAUGGGUCAGCGACUUAUAUUCUGUAGCAAGGUUAACCGUAUAGGGGAGCCGCAGGGAAACCGAGUCUUAACUGGGCGUUAAGUUGCAGGGUAUAGACCCGAAACCCGGUGAUCUAGCCAUGGGCAGGUUGAAGGUUGGGUAACACUAACUGGAGGACCGAACCGACUAAUGUUGAAAAAUUAGCGGAUGACUUGUGGCUGGGGGUGAAAGGCCAAUCAAACCGGGAGAUAGCUGGUUCUCCCCGAAAGCUAUUUAGGUAGCGCCUCGUGAACUCAUCUUCGGGGGUAGAGCACUGUUUCGGCUAGGGGGUCAUCCCGACUUACCAACCCGAUGCAAACUACGAAUACCGAAGAAUGUUAUCACGGGAGACACACGGCGGGUGCUAACGUCCGUCGUGAAGAGGGAAACAACCCAGACCGCCAGCUAAGGUCCCAAAGUCACAGUUAAGUGGGAAACGAUGUGGGAAGGCACAGACAGCCAGGAUGUUGGCUUAGAAGCAGCCAUCAUUUAAAGAAAGCGUAAUAGCUCACUGGUCGAGUCGGCCUGCGCGGAAGAUGUAACGGGGCUAAACUGUGCACCGAAGCUGCGGCAGCGACACUAUGUGUUGUUGGGUAGGGGAGCGUUCUGUAAGCCUGCGAAGGUGGCCUGUGAGGGUUGCUGGAGGUAUCAGAAGUGCGAAUGCUGACAUAAGUAACGAUAAUGCGGGUGAAAAGCCCGCACGCCGGAAGACCAAGGGUUCCUGUCCAACGUUAAUCGGGGCAGGGUGAGUCGACCCCUAAGGCGAGGCCGAAAGGCGUAGUCGAUGGGAAACAGGUUAAUAUUCCUGUACUUGGUGUUACUGCGAAGGGGGGACGGAGAAGGCUAUGUUAGCCGGGCGACGGUUGUCCCGGUUUAAGCAUGUAGGCGGAGGU
Molecule: ribosomal RNA, 993 nt
Filed under: Klebsiella aerogenes
Lineage: Bacteria; Pseudomonadati; Pseudomonadota; Gammaproteobacteria; Enterobacterales; Enterobacteriaceae
Description: partial 23S ribosomal RNA
Rfam family: Bacterial large subunit ribosomal RNA
Source: RNAcentral